Long non-coding RNA from Melitaea cinxia (Glanville fritillary), 1376 nucleotides. RefSeq lists it as uncharacterized. The record is from RefSeq and is a predicted model, not a curated record. NCBI's taxonomy places the organism in Eukaryota, Metazoa, Arthropoda, Insecta, Lepidoptera, Nymphalidae. The transcript is spliced from 2 exons.
UGUAUGUUUAUAUUACUCUUUGGUACAUCGUGUAUGUUUAUAUUACUCUUUGGUACAUCGUGUCCGGUAGGAGCACAGAGUACAUUGGCAGGAGUAAUCACAAAUCACAGAGCACAUCAGCACAAUCACAGAGCAUAGUAAUACUUACAGGCACAAUCGUACACAAAGAGUAUAAUAAUAAAAUACGGAGAUCGUACACGUGCUACCCAUAAGACUAGUUUAGAUGUUUUGUAAUUUGUUAUUUGAUCAAAGUUUUAGAAGUCCAUACAACUAAAAAUAUAUAUUUGGAUGACCUAGACAACACAUUAAUAUUACAAAUAAUGGCUACUGAUGACAUAUCACGAGGUGUGGGGAUGGGGAGAUUGGAAAUAGAGCCAUGCAAAGCUUUAAAUAAUAUCAAGGAAGAAAAUCCAUUUUUAAAUCCCUCACAGAGAAAAGUUGUAUCGAAAACCUUAACUCAAACAACCAAAUGUACCUGCCUAAGUCAAAGAAAACGAAAGGUUUCAAAAUGUAAAAGGAAGCAUAAACUAUUGAAAGACCCAGUUCUGAAGCAUCGUAUACAUAUUUCUCUUCAUCAUUCCUACAAUAUACAAAAUAGAAUAAAAAACGAAUGCCCAUAUUUAUUCCAUAAAGAUGUAAUGAAUGUUAAAUUUACCAAAAAAUGCAAUGCUGAUGAUGUAAACUUACACACAUUAGUUGAUAAUUGCAAUCAACUAAGUAUUUCAUCAGAUAAAAGCCAAACAGUUCUAAAAGUUAAUAAUGUAAAUGAUUCUGUCCAAUGGUGGAACUGUGAAGCUAACAGUGAAAGACAAUUGAGAGACUCAAAUACAGUUAGAAGUUCACAUGGAUCCUGUUAAUUAAAGUAAUUAAAUAACUAAAUAAAAUUAUAGAACUAAUUAAAUAACUUCUGACUUUCUUAUUAUUUUAUUCUGUCAAUUUCUUUUUUAUUAAAAAAUUUUAUUAAUUAAUGGUGCAUUACCUUGUAUUGCAAGUGGUAUGGAGGAGUAUGGUGGAAACUAUUUGAUUACAGAUGUAACAAUUGCAAUUCGAACGUACGAACGACAAUAAACAAACAUGUGACUAACUCGUCGAAGUAUUGAAUGGCGCUCUCCGACUGAUGCCGGUCGCUGCUGUCUCGAGUACUCACACCAAUUUUUGCAUUGGCUGUUUUCACGAUUAAAGAAAAAUAUAUAUUAAAAUGCUAAGGUUAAGACGUUUGGCUCCCCUUUUAGAGAAAAAUCCCCAAAUACUUUUUUGUAAUUUUGUAGUGAUAAUUAUUGUACUCAGUUAAUGCGAAUUAUUCGCACAGGUAUAGCUUACUAGCUGUAAUAAUGUACUAUUUUACGUGCAAAGUUAUAAUAAAUGAUACUGUAUAA